AAUCAAAGCUGCAUUGAGGUCACGUGGGUCGCGCCGAAUACAUCUGCUCCGGCAAAUAUUACAUUCUGCGCAACCUUUGUGCAGCAAUACGAGAAGUUCUGGAUCAUGGUGGGCAGCCCCCCUGUCCUGCUGUCCAGCCACACUGGCCCGCCGUCCAGCCCCACUGACCCGCCGUCCAGCCCCACUGACCCGCCGUCCAGCCCCACUGGCCCGCCAUCUAACAGUCCUGCCUUAGCUGUGAACUGCCUGAUGAUGCCUCUCUGCAUCCUGAUUGCACUCAGACUCUUCAGAGCUUCAUCUUUAACGCUACUCUGAUCUUUGGUAAUGGAUGCAACUGGAAAUAUUAUGGAUACUUCUGAUUUUACU
Long non-coding RNA from Neoarius graeffei (lesser salmon catfish), 366 nucleotides. RefSeq lists it as uncharacterized. Lineage: Eukaryota; Metazoa; Chordata; Actinopteri; Siluriformes; Ariidae. The transcript has 3 exons. The record is from RefSeq and is a predicted model, not a curated record.